AUGAAAUCAUUUAGACAUCUCUCGGUACAACUUCUCUUGCUCGCCACCCUCUUUCCUAUACUCGCACUAUGCUAUAUUAAUCCAGCUACCACAAGCAUACACCAAAAUGCCACAAAAUCCUCUGCUUAUCGUGCUUACAUCGUGCUCGUCCAGCCACCACCCUCGAAUGCAGGCGAAGAUGCACACCACCAGUGGUACGAGUCUUUCUUGUCGACAUCGUUGGCAGGUGACUCUCGCAAGUCACGCCUUCUCUACUCCUACACCGAGGUGUUCAAUGGGUUCGCCGUAAGGCUCACCGAUGCCGAACUCGACAAGGUGUCCAAGAAGCCAGGGUUUGUGCGGGCAUUCCCAGACCAAACGCUGCAACUAAUGACCACCCACACGCCAGAGUUCCUUGGGCUAAGGAAUGGCACUGGGUUCUGGAGCCAGGCUGACUACGGGAAGGGAGUCAUCAUCGGGCUGCUUGAUAGCGGCAUCUAUGCAGCGCAUGCUUCCUUCAACGACCAUGGUGUUCCACCACCCCCAGCAAGGUGGAAGGGCUCGUGCGACGCGGCCCGGUGCAACAACAAGCUUAUCGGUGCCAAGUCACUCAUUGCAGAUCAUGACUCUGACGACGAACAAGGGCAUGGAACACACACCUCUUCCACAGCCGCGGGAAACUUCGUAACGGGCGCAUCAUACAAUGGCGUGGGCACAGGUACUGCGGUUGGAAUUGCCCCUAGUGCCCACAUUGCCAUGUAUAAGGUAUGUGAUGCUCGUGACUGCAAGGCAUCUGCUAUACUGGCCGGCCUAGAAGAGGCCAUCAAGGAUGGGGUGGACGUGCUCUCGCUCUCCCUUGGCAGCAGCACCGGCGCCAGCUUCGAUCAGGACCCGAUAUCUAUUGGCGCGUUCAGCGCCGUGUCCAAGGGCAUCCUCGUGGUGUGCGCCGCUGGCAACAACGGUCCGAUUCAGAGCUCCGUCACGAAUGAAGCACCAUGGUUGCUCACGGUCGCCGCUAGCUCCGUGGACCGGAGCUUCAGCGUCAACAUACAUCUCGGCAAUGGCAAGACCAUUGACGGAGAAGCACUUACCCAGAUAGGAAAUCCAAGAUCAAAGUUGCACUCUCUCCUCUACUCCAAGGAAUGGCGGUACUGCAAUUAUGACUAUGAUAAUAGCAUCACUGGUAAGAUCCUCCUUUGCAAGGACAAUAAGUCAAGGGCUCAACGGUCCAAAAUCCGCAACAUAGUGGGCGCUGGCGCGACAGGUGUGGUAUUGUUCAACGAUGAAAUCAGUGGCUACACCACCACUGUUACAGAUUACAACUCCAGUGUUGUACAGGUGACUGCGGCCGAUGGCGAGGCCCUCAUAGCUUACAUCGCGUUGACAGACAAUAGCUCUAUGGCGUCUCUUGCGUACAACGGUACACAGUUUGGCGUCCGCCCUGCCCCCGUCGUGACCUCGUUCUCUUCUCGGGGUCCAAGCUCACUCGCCCCCAACAUCCUAAAGCCGGACAUACUGGCACCGGGCCUCAACAUCCUUGCUGCUUGGCCGUCAAAAACGGGCCAUGGACAGGGCUCUUUCACCAUCAUAUCAGGCACAUCUAUGGCGACACCACAUGUCAGCGGUGUCGCGGCGCUCAUCAAAGGCAUCCAUCCUGACUGGUCGCCGGCCACCAUCAAGUCUGCCAUCCUAACAACGUCGGACAUCAUUAACGGUACUGGCGGCUCAAUCUUGGACGAGCAACAUAGAAAGGCCAGCGUGUACGACACAGGUGCCGGUCAUGUAAACCCGCCAAGAGCUGCCGACCCUGGCUUGGUGUAUGACCUCAGUGUCAUUGACUACGCUGGCUACAUCUGCUGGCUCCUUGGUGACAUCGGCCUAGCAACCAUAGUGCACAACUCGAGUUUGUCCUGCGCGAAGUUGCCCAAGGUCCAGGACGUGCAACUUAAUUACCCGACGAUAACCGUGCCGCUCACAUCCACGCAAUUCACUGUGAACCGAACUGUGACAAAUGUGGGUCCAGCAGAGUCAACAUUCAAGGUCAAAGUGGAUGUGCCAAGGUCUUUAACAGUGCGCGUCAUCCCAGAUACUAUGUCAUUCUCCAAAACCGGAGAGAAGAAGACCUUCAGUGUGUCCGUGAGUAGCCUUGAACUGGGCAAAGAGCUCUACGUGGAUGGAACCUUGAGCUGGGUAUCGGAGAAGCAUGUCGUGCGUAGCCCCAUCAUCGUUGUCCCCGCAUGA
This 2220-nucleotide ribosomal RNA is filed under the name Triticum aestivum (bread wheat). Its description in RNAcentral is "partial small subunit ribosomal RNA". The record is from RNAcentral. Lineage: Eukaryota; Viridiplantae; Streptophyta; Magnoliopsida; Poales; Poaceae.